RNAcentral lists this ribosomal RNA (465 nucleotides) under uncultured bacterium. RNAcentral describes it as "partial 16S ribosomal RNA". It matches the Rfam family "Bacterial small subunit ribosomal RNA", at positions 338 to 795 of the family's 1533-position model. The record is from RNAcentral.
CCUACGGGAGGCAGCAGUGGGGAAUAUUGCGCAAUGGGCGAAAGCCUGACGCAGCGACGCCGCGUGAGGGAUGAAGGUCUUCGGAUCGUAAACCUCUGUCAGCAGGGAAGAACGGUCACUGUGCUAAUCAGCAGUGAAUUGACGGUACCUGCAAAGGAAGCACCGGCUAACUCCGUGCCAGCAGCCGCGGUAAUACGGAGGGUGCGAGCGUUAAUCGGAAUUACUGGGCGUAAAGCGCUCGUAGGCGGUAUGUCAAGUCAAGGGUGAAAUCCCCGCGCUCAACGUGGGAACUGCUUUUGAAACUGGCAAACUGGAGUGUGUGAGAGGAUAGUGGAAUUCCAGGUGUAGGAGUGAAAUGCGUAGAUAUCUGGAGGAACAUCAGUGGCGAAGGCGACUAUCUGGCACAUAACUGACGCUGAGGAGCGAAAGCGUGGGUAGCAAACAGGAUUAGAUACCCUGGUAGUC